RNAcentral lists this ribosomal RNA (857 nucleotides) under Salmonella enterica. RNAcentral describes it as "partial 23S ribosomal RNA". It matches the Rfam family "Bacterial large subunit ribosomal RNA", at positions 711 to 1566 of the family's 2925-position model. Lineage: Bacteria; Pseudomonadati; Pseudomonadota; Gammaproteobacteria; Enterobacterales; Enterobacteriaceae. The record is from RNAcentral.
AGACCCGAAACCCGGUGAUCUAGCCAUGGGCAGGUUGAAGGUUGGGUAACACUAACUGGAGGACCGAACCGACUAAUGUUGAAAAAUUAGCGGAUGACCUGUGGCUGGGGGUGAAAGGCCAAUCAAACCGGGAGAUAGCUGGUUCUCCCCGAAAGCUAUUUAGGUAGCGCCUCGUGAAUUCAUCUCCGGGGGUAGAGCACUGUUUCGGCUAGGGGGCCAUCCCGGCUUACCAACCCGAUGCAAACUGCGAAUACCGGAGAAUGUUAUCACGGGAGACACACGGCGGGUGCUAACGUCCGUCGUGAAGAGGGAAACAACCCAGACCGCCAGCUAAGGUCCCAAAGUCAUGGUUAAGUGGGAAACGAUGUGGGAAGGCCCAGACAGCCAGGAUGUUGGCUUAGAAGCAGCCAUCAUUUAAAGAAAGCGUAAUAGCUCACUGGUCGAGUCGGCCUGCGCGGAAGAUGUAACGGGGCUAAACCAUGCACCGAAGCUGCGGCAGCGACGCUUAUGCGUUGUUGGGUAGGGGAGCGUUCUGUAAGCCUGUGAAGGUGUGUCGUGAGGCAUGCUGGAGGUAUCAGAAGUGCGAAUGCUGACAUAAGUAACGAUAAAGCGGGUGAAAAGCCCGCUCGCCGGAAGACCAAGGGUUCCUGUCCAACGUUAAUCGGGGCAGGGUGAGUCGACCCCUAAGGCGAGGCCGAAAGGCGUAGUCGAUGGGAAACGGGUUAAUAUUCCCGUACUUGGUGUUACUGCGAAGGGGGGACGGAGAAGGCUAUGUUGGCCGGGCGACGGUUGUCCCGGUUUAAGCGUGUAGGUGUGUGUUCCAGGUAAAUCCGGUUCACUUUAACACUGAGGCGUGA